UCCGGUUGAUCCUGCCGGAGGUCACCGCUAUUGGAAUUCGCUUAAGCCAUGCGAGUUUAAAGGACUUCGGUCCUUGGCUGACGGCUCAGUAACACGCGGAUAAUCUGCCCUUGGGUGGGGGAUAAGCUCGGGAAACUGAGUAUAAUACCCCAUAGGUCUAGAAUGCUGGAAUGCAUCUAGGCUCAAAGUUCCGGCGCCCAAGGAUGAGUCUGCGGCCUAUCAGGUUGUAGUGGGUGUAAAGUACCUACUAGCCUACGACGGGUACGGGCCUUGAGAGAGGUUGCCCGGAGAUGGAAUCUGAGACACGAUUCCAGGCCCUACGGGGCGCAGCAGGCGCGAAAACUUCGCAAUGUGGGAAACCACGACGAGGGAAUUCCAAGUGCAUGCACAUUGUGUAUGCUGUUCAAUUGCCUAAAAAGCAUAUGAAGUAAGGGCUGGGUAAGACGGGUGCCAGCCGCCGCGGUAAUACCCGCAGCCCGAGUGGUGAUCGUUAUUAUUGAGCCUAAAGCGUCCGUAGCUGGUCUGUUAAAUCCUUGGGUAAAUCGGGUAGCUCAACUAUUCGAAUUCCGAGAAGACUGACAGACUUGGGACUGGGAGAGGUCAGAGGUACUCCAGGGGUAGGGGCUAAAUCCUGUAAUCCUUGGGGGACCACCAGUGGCGAAGGCGUCUGACUAGAACAGAUCCGACAGUAAGGGACGAAGCCCUGGGUCGCAAACCGGAUUAGAUACCCGGGUAGUCCAGGGUGUAACCGCUGCAGACUUGGUGUUGGGGACCCUACGAGGGUGCCCAGUGCCGGAGAGAAGUUGUUAAGUCUGCCGCUUGGGGAGUACGCUCGCAAGAGUGAAACUUAAAGGAAUUGGCGGGGGAGCACUGCAACGGGAGGAGAGUGCGGUUCAAUUGGAUUCAACGCCGGAAAACUCACCGGAAGCGGCGGUUACAUGAAGGCCAAGCUGAUGACUUUGCCUGAUUUUCCGAGAGGUGGUGCAUGGCCGCCGUCAGUUCGUACCAAGGCGUUCUGUUAAGUCAGAUAACGAACAAGACCCUCACUUUUAAUUGCCACCCAUUCCCCCGGGAAUGGAGCACAUUAAAGGAACCGCUGGCGCUAAGUCAGAGGAAGGUGAGGUCAACGGUAGGUCAGUAUGCCCCGAAUCUUCCGGGCUACACGCGCUCUACAAAGGAAUGGACAAUGGGAUUCGACACCGAGAGGUGAAGGUAAGCCCGAAACCAUUUCGUAGUUCGGACUGAGGGCUGUAAUUCGCCUCACGAAGAUGGAUUCCGUACUAAUCGCGAAUCAACAUCUCGCGGUGAAUAUGCCCCUGCUCCUUGCACACACCGCCCGUCAAACCAUCUGAGUUGGGUUUGGAUGAGGGCAUCUCUUUCUGGGGUGUUCGAAUCCAGGUUCAGCAAGGAGGGUUAAGUCGUAACAAGGUA
This 1431-nucleotide ribosomal RNA is filed under the name metagenome. RNAcentral's name for it is "bacterial SSU rRNA". It matches the Rfam family "Archaeal small subunit ribosomal RNA". The record is from RNAcentral.